RNAcentral lists this unclassified non-coding RNA (200 nucleotides) under soil metagenome. RNAcentral's name for it is "partial contains internal transcribed spacer 2 and large subunit ribosomal RNA". The record is from RNAcentral.
UGGGACACUUUGCAUCCGCCUCUCUUGUGGGAGGAGGCGGCCAAGCAGUGUUUUUCUCCAGGCAUGGCAUGAUACGUCAUUUGCUAUGUCGCCCAAUGGAGGAAUGUUUGGUUGUGUCUGCGUGUGCUUCGAACUUGCCUCUGUGCAAAUCCCCUUUCACUUCUGGUCUCAAAUCAGGUAGGAUCACCCGCUGAACUUAA